Long non-coding RNA from Neltuma alba, 96 nucleotides. RefSeq lists it as uncharacterized. The transcript is spliced from 3 exons. The record is from RefSeq and is a predicted model, not a curated record. Lineage: Eukaryota; Viridiplantae; Streptophyta; Magnoliopsida; Fabales; Fabaceae.
UGAUGCUGCUCCGUCUAUAGCAUCCAUGGUGCUUCCUAUAACUCCUGCCUCUUUCAACUUCUUCCUUUCUUCUAGAGGCAGAGAAGAUGAUACUAA